UGUAGAAUACAAAGUCCCAUCCUCCUUCUGAAAAAAAGGACAUCUGAAAUUACAAAUCCCAGGAUUUGGAGGCAGGGGGAAUCAUAAAGAUAGACUACCUAGAAAUGAGAGGGAAGUGACUAAGUGAAGGAUGAAAGUUAGAAUGUAAACAGAGGAAAGCCAAAUCAGCCACAGAUAAUCAAACAAGCAAUAGAACCUUGCCAGAAGAGAAGAACAAAAGACAAGAGGACAAAGUUAAAAGAAAUCAUAUUAACAGGAUCCAGUGGCCAAAAGUUAAGGACAGCAGAAAUUCAUCUUGAGAUAACUCAUGCUUUCCCAGCAUGGUGGAAUGAAAAAGCAGUGGACUAGAAACCAGCACAUAUGGAUUCCAGCCCUGGAUAUGCCUCUAAUUUGAUCCCUCUGAGUCUCAAUUUCCUCAUUUGUAAAAUGAGAAAGUUGGAUUAAAUUCUAUUCAAUAAACAUAUUAACACAGUGGUUAGCAUAUGGUAGGUGUUUAAUAGAUAUUUAUUGAUUAAUUGAUUGAUUGAUUGAAUAAUACCUAACAGGCAUGAAAGCCUUUGU
This is a long non-coding RNA of Sarcophilus harrisii (Tasmanian devil), 561 nucleotides long. RefSeq lists it as uncharacterized. The transcript has 2 exons. The record is from RefSeq and is a predicted model, not a curated record. NCBI's taxonomy places the organism in Eukaryota, Metazoa, Chordata, Mammalia, Dasyuromorphia, Dasyuridae.